UACGUAGGGACCAAGCGUUGUUCGGAUUUACUGGGCGUAAAGGGCGCGUUGGCGGCCCCGCAAGUCACUUGUGAAAUCUCCGGGCUUAACUCGGAACUGCCAAGUGAAACUGCAGGGCUAGAGUGCGGAAGGGGCAAUCGGAAUUCUUGGUGUAGCGGUGAAAUGCGUAGAUAUCAAGAGGAACACCUGAGGUGAAGACGGGUUGCUGGGCCGACACUGACGCUGAGUGCGCGAAAGCCAGGGGAGCAAACGGG
This 254-nucleotide ribosomal RNA is filed under the name uncultured bacterium. Its description in RNAcentral is "partial 16S ribosomal RNA". It matches the Rfam family "Bacterial small subunit ribosomal RNA", at positions 524 to 776 of the family's 1533-position model. The record is from RNAcentral.